Molecule: ribosomal RNA, 427 nt
Filed under: uncultured archaeon
Lineage: Archaea
Description: bacterial SSU rRNA
Rfam family: Archaeal small subunit ribosomal RNA
Source: RNAcentral
AACCAGCACCUCAAGUGGUCAGGAUGAUUAUUGGGCCUAAAGCAUCCGUAGCCCGCUUUGUUAGUUUUCGGUUAAAUCUGUGCGCUUAACGUACAGGCUGCCGGAAAUACUGCAAAGCUAGGGAGUGGGAGAGGUAGACGGUACUCGGUAGGAAGGGGUAAAAUCCUUUGAUCUAUUGAUGACCACCUGUGGCGAAGGCGGUCUACCAGAACACGUCCGACGGUGAGGGAUGAAAGCUGGGGGAGCAAACCGGAUUAGAUACCCGGGUAGUCCCAGCUGUAAACUAUGCAAACUCAGUGAUGCAUUGGCUUGUGGCCAAUGCAGUGCUGCAGGGAAGCCGUUAAGUUUGCCGCCUGGGAAUACGUACGCAAGUAUGAAACUUAAAGGAAUUGGCGGGGAGCACCACGAAGGGUGAAGCCUGCGGUUC